This 446-nucleotide ribosomal RNA is filed under the name uncultured bacterium. RNAcentral's name for it is "bacterial SSU rRNA". It matches the Rfam family "Bacterial small subunit ribosomal RNA", at positions 28 to 455 of the family's 1533-position model. The record is from RNAcentral.
GACGAACGCUGGCGGCGUGCUUAACACAUGCAAGUCGAACGAGACGAUUUAGAAGCUUGCUUUUAUUGAGUCGAGUGGCAAACGGGUGAGUAACGCGUAGACAACCUGCCGCAAAGAUGGGGACAACAGUCCGAAAGGACUGCUAAUACCGAAUGUUGUAUCUCCUCCGCAUGGAAGAGAUAUUAAAGAUGGCCUCUACUUGUAAGCUAUCGCUUUGCGAUGGGUCUGCGUCUGAUUAGCUAGUUGUGGGGCAACGGCCUACCAAGGCGACGAUCAGUAGCCGGUCUGAGAGGAUGAACGGCCACAUUGGAACUGAGACACGGUCCAGACUCCUACGGGAGGCAGCAGUGGGAANCUCGCAAUGGGCGAAAGCCUGACGGAGCAACGCCGCGUGAGUGAAGAAGGUCUUCGGAUCGUAAAGCUCUGUUGUCGGGGACGAAUGUUGA